Molecule: long non-coding RNA, 479 nt
Filed under: Citrus maxima (pomelo)
Lineage: Eukaryota; Viridiplantae; Streptophyta; Magnoliopsida; Sapindales; Rutaceae
Description: long non-coding RNA (CMAX_LNC000861)
Source: RNAcentral
AAACAUUCCAAUAAAUGCAUGAUUUUAUAACAAAUUUCAUAAUACUAAUAUCUGAAUGAAUCUUUAGAUUUGUUACAACUCACAACAUUCCAUCACAACAUUUAUCAAUGAAAUCAAUAACAAUGUUAUUGGUUCUUUGAGAAGUCAAUGAACUCUGGCUCAAAGAGAAAGGAGUCAACUGGUAAAAUGAAUUACUUUUGGUACAUGGUUGCUAUGUCAUCUAUAUUCGUGAAAUUGACAUCAUGACAUGGCCGUAUUGGCUCAACAGCCUCCUGAAGAUUCAAAUAAAAUUAUUUUCAGUUGAAAGCAUAAAUUUUAUGAAAAAAUGCUAAGUAAGAAAAAACGUAAGAGAAUUUUAUUGGUAAAAAUGACAUUUAUUUUCUUUCUUCAUUUGGAAUUCAUCAAUAGCAUAGAUAGACUCACCUUCUGUCCAAUUACUCCAAUUUGGCGUACCUCACAGCGUAAGGUGAAGUUGGCAG